RNAcentral lists this ribosomal RNA (251 nucleotides) under uncultured bacterium. Its description in RNAcentral is "partial 16S ribosomal RNA". It matches the Rfam family "Bacterial small subunit ribosomal RNA", at positions 524 to 776 of the family's 1533-position model. The record is from RNAcentral.
UACGGAGGGGGCUAGCGUUGUUCGGAAUUACUGGGCGUAAAGCGCACGUAGGCGGCUUUGUAAGUCAGAGGUGAAAGCCCGGAGCUCAACUCCGGAAUUGCCUUUGAGACUGCAUCGCUUGAAUCCAGGAGAGGUGAGUGGAAUUCCGAGUGUAGAGGUGAAAUUCGUAGAUAUUCGGAAGAACACCAGUGGCGAAGGCGGCUCACUGGACUGGUAUUGACGCUGAGGUGCGAAAGCGUGGGAGCAACAGG